Molecule: ribosomal RNA, 468 nt
Filed under: uncultured bacterium
Lineage: Bacteria
Description: partial 16S ribosomal RNA
Rfam family: Bacterial small subunit ribosomal RNA
Source: RNAcentral
GACGAACGCUGGCGGCGUGCUUAACACAUGCAAGUCGAACGGAAAGGCCCUGCUUUUGUGGGGCGCUCGAGUGGCGAACGGGUGAGUAACACGUGAGUAACCUGCCCCUGACUUUGGGAUAACUUCAGGAAACUGGGGCUAAUACCGGAUAGGAGCUCCUGCUGCAUGGUGGGGGUUGGAAAGUUUCGGCGGUUGGGGAUGGACUCGCGGCUUAUCAGCUUGUUGGUGGGGUAGUGGCUUACCAAGGCUUUGACGGGUAGCCGGCCUGAGAGGGUGACCGGCCACAUUGGGACUGAGAUACGGCCCAGACUCCUACGGGAGGCAGCAGUGGGGAAUAUUGCACAAUGGGCGGAAGCCUGAUGCAGCAACGCCGCGUGCGGGAUGACGGCCUUCGGGUUGUAAACCGCUUUCGCCUGUGACGAAGCGUGAGUGACGGUAAUGGGUAAAGAAGCACCGGCUAACUACGUG